CAGAGGAUUUCCUUUCCCUCUGACUGUUCACUGGCUUUGUAGUCAUUCCUUAUUAUUGAAGAAUCUGAUGUUAAAUAUUGCAGAGAGGAGAAUAUUUUGAGCGAUUUAGUGAUUGAAACUGAACCCAGGCCACUGCUCAUAAUCAGCAUAUACUCUACCACUAGGUUAUAUCCCCAGACCCUGAAAAGAAAAAAAUACCAAAUUUAAUAGGAAAACUCAUAUGGUUUCCUAUGUGCCUUUCUAAAACUCUGUGAAACACCUGAUGCAGUGCACAAUAUGCAUUUCCAUUAAAGUCUUUCAGACUUCACACUGGAAAGGGAAAGAAGUCGGGAGCCCCAGGGAAGGUGAGCACUGAAGCAAUGGGGUCCAGGCUUUUCCAGAUGCAACAGCUGGACCAGUUGCAGAUGAGACCAGGACCUCUGUCCAGGGACCUCAAAACCUCAGGUGCCUUGGGGGAAGGGGGCACUAGGUCCACACCCAGCAGUUACCUAAGCAACAGAGAGAGGUACGCUCCUCAGAGGCUUCAAGGAAGUGACAGAUAUUUUAAAGAAUAAAAAGACCCGAAUGGCAGCUGGAGAGGCUCACAUUUCUGGAUGUCUCUGUAGUAAGGACUGCCAGGAGUCCUGCUGAGCCCUGGAGAGGGGAAAUGAUGUCACAAGAGAGGAACUGAGGAAGACCAUGGAGAAAAAGAGCACAACUGAGCAAGGAGGCUGGAAAGAGAAGGGCUAAGAACACCUUGGGGUUGACAUCUGCACAAGCAAACAGGAACUAUUAGAAAAGCAGGAUGCAUUUUGGAAGAUCAUGACUGUUGCUCUGUGGAAACGGAGGUAGGUAGAGUGGUUUACAAGCUGAGGGGCAAUUUUCAGCUUAGUCAUACUCAGCACUGAGAGCCUAAUUUGGGAGCAGAGAUGUUUUGCUGAGCGUGGCCAUUGUAAUUUUAGAUUUAAUGAUAUGCUGUGAUAACUGUGUCUGAUCGUCAUACCUAGAGCAACCCAGAGAGAAUGAAACUGAACAAGAAGGAUAUUUACUCUUCAUGUCCUGGCUUCUCACUAUCUCUCCCUACCAUCUGUACAAUAUCCACCAGGAGCCCAUGGAGGAUGAAGCAGUCUGCAUUGUAGGGGGACCCUCAUGCCAGUGAAUAAGCAAAAAAAAAAAAAAACAGAGCUAACCAAGGGCUCCUGCAGCCUCUGCUGAGCAGCUACUUACAGUCAACAGGCAAAGGCAUCAGAGAGUUGAGACUGGCAAAGAAACACAGGGCAAGGGGCUGCAGCACAGCUGAGCAAGAACGUUUAAUCCAAAACUGAAUAAGCCAAGUGGGACUGGGAUGAAACUCAUUAAAACAUGGAGGUUACAGAAAAAUGAAUCACAGACUUUUUAGCCUGUUACCUAAUACAGGUGUAAGAACAGAACUGAAUCUGUAGCCAAAGUUGUAUUAAAACAAAAUCUCAUGUAAGCUGUGCUUCAGAUGUUGCAUGUCAUGCCAAAUGUGGUCAGAAGAAACCUGACCUCUCAGCUGAAGAGUUCUAUCAGAGCCGUGGUCCAAAGACCAUCCUCUUGGAUGUAUUCUUCAGGCACCUGUUGGGUUCAGAAAGAGAAGCUACCCAGCUGCCAACAUCACUGGUGGUUCCAGGCAGCCACACACACGGGCCCCCACAUCCUAAAGCACAUAUUUUGGCAGGAAGUCAGCACAGCCUCCCUCCCAGUCCCUGUGGGAUGCACAGGUUGAUGGGAAGCUGCGUAAGGGAUCCCAGUGGCCAGGGGUUUCCUAAGUGUGAUUCCUGAUCAUCAAUGUCACUGGUCCCUGUCCCCUGGAAACUUAGACUUGCACCCCAGUUGGCCCUGGGCUGGCCCCAGAUUGCCCCUCCUAAUCUUUUAACGCUCCCCACUGGUCACAACGGCAAGUUGUAUAAGCAAAAUCCCCAUCUUCCCAUGACUUUUAAUGUCCGCUUCAACGAAUAGUAAGUUUCCUUAUCCAUCUACCCUUUUAAUCUAUGCUUUAUCCUGUGCUAUUGAUCCACUGGCCACUUGCUGUUUUAGUUAUAGUAGUAGAUAGUGUAAUUAAUUACAGCAC
Molecule: long non-coding RNA, 2071 nt
Organism: Heterocephalus glaber (naked mole-rat)
Lineage: Eukaryota; Metazoa; Chordata; Mammalia; Rodentia; Bathyergidae
Source: Ensembl